CAGUCGAACGGGGCGGCGGGGAGGAAUCCCUUCGGGGAGGAGACCCCGCGGCCUAGUGGCGGACGGGUGAGUAACGCGUGGGCAACCUGCCCCAUACCGGGGGAUAACAGCCGGAAACGGCUGCUAACACCGCAUAAGCGCUGGGGGCCGCAUGGCUCCCAGCGGAAAACUCCGGUGGUAUGGGAUGGGCCCGCGUCUGAUUAGGCAGUUGGCGGGGCAGCGGCCCACCAAACCGACGAUCAGUAGCCGGCCUGAGAGGGCGGCCGGCCACAUUGGGACUGAGACACGGCCCAGACUCCUGCGGGAGGCAGCAGUGGGGAAUAUUGCACAAUGGGGGGAACCCUGAUGCAGCGACGCCGCGUGGGCGAGGAAGUAUUUCGGUAUGUAAAGCCCUAUCGGCAGGGAAGAAGAAAUGACGGUACCUGAAUAAGAAGCACCGGCUAAAUACGUGCCAGCAGCCGCGGUAAUACGUAUGGUGCAAGCGUUAUCCGGAUUUACUGGGCGUAAAGGGAGCGCAGGCGGCGCGCCAAGUCUGAUGUGAAACCCCGGGGCUCAACCCCGGGCAUGCAUUGGAAACUGGCGGGCUGGAGUGCCGGAGAGGUAAGCGGAAUUCCUAGUGUAGCGGUGAAAUGCGUAGAUAUUAGGAGGAACACCAGUGGCGAAGGCGGCUUACUGGACGGCAACUGACGCUGAGGCUCGAAAGCGUGGGGAGCAAACAGGAUUAGAUACCCUGGUAGUCCACGCCGUAAACGAUG
RNAcentral lists this ribosomal RNA (755 nucleotides) under uncultured bacterium. RNAcentral's name for it is "bacterial SSU rRNA". It matches the Rfam family "Bacterial small subunit ribosomal RNA", at positions 59 to 811 of the family's 1533-position model. The record is from RNAcentral.